Molecule: microRNA precursor, 87 nt
Organism: Medicago truncatula (barrel medic)
Lineage: Eukaryota; Viridiplantae; Streptophyta; Magnoliopsida; Fabales; Fabaceae
Rfam family: MIR2617 microRNA precursor family
Source: Rfam
AUGACGUGUAGCAUGCCCGUUGUGGGAUUACUCUGAUGUUUAUAUGCUAUUUUAUUGCUUUUGGGUAACGGGGUGUUACAACGGUCG